RNAcentral lists this ribosomal RNA (719 nucleotides) under uncultured beta proteobacterium. RNAcentral's name for it is "bacterial SSU rRNA". It matches the Rfam family "Bacterial small subunit ribosomal RNA", at positions 47 to 749 of the family's 1533-position model. Lineage: Bacteria; Pseudomonadati; Pseudomonadota; Betaproteobacteria. The record is from RNAcentral.
CUUUACACAUGCAAGUCGAACGGUAACGAGGAGGAAAGCUUGCUUUCCUCCGUCGACGAGUGGCGAACGGGUGAGUAAGACAUCGGAACGUAUCCGCUCGUGGGGGACAACUUCCCGAAAGGGGAGCUAAUACCGCACGAGAUCCGAGGAUGAAAGAGGGGGACCCGCGAGGGCCUCUCGCGAGCGGAGCGGCCGAUGACUGAUUAGCCAGUUGGUAAGGUAAAGGCUUACCAAGGCGACGAUCAGUAGCUGGUCUGAGAGGACGACCAGCCACACUGGGACUGAGACACGGCCCAGACUCCUACGGGAGGCAGCAGUGGGGAAUUUUGGACAAUGGGCGCAAGCCUGAUCCAGCUAUUCCGCGUGUGGGAAGACGGCCUUCGGGUUGUAAACCACUUUUGUAGAGAACGAAAAGUCUAUUGAUAAUACCGAUAGAUGAUGACGGUACUCUAAGAAUAAGCACCGGCUAACUACGUGCCAGCAGCCGCGGUAAUACGUAGGGUGCGAGCGUUAAUCGGAAUUACUGGGCGUAAAGGGUGUGCAGGCGGUUUUGCAAGAUGGAUGUGAAAGCCCCGGGCUUAACCUGGGAAAGCCAUACAUGACUGCAAGACUAGAGUGCGUCAGAGGGGGGUGGAAUUCCAAGUGUAGCAGUGAAAUGCGUAGAUAUUUGGAAGAACACCGAUGGCGAAGGCAGCCCCCUGGGACGCAACUGACGCUCA